Non-coding RNA from Triticum aestivum (bread wheat), 115 nucleotides. Lineage: Eukaryota; Viridiplantae; Streptophyta; Magnoliopsida; Poales; Poaceae. The record is from Rfam.
CUACUACUCCCUCCGUUCGGAAUUACUUGUCUUGGACAUGGAUGUAUCUAGAACUAAAAUACAUCUAGAUACAUCCAUUUCUGCGACAAGUAAUUCCGAACGGAGGGAGUACUAG